This 753-nucleotide ribosomal RNA is filed under the name uncultured Ascomycota. Its description in RNAcentral is "LSU rRNA". It matches the Rfam family "Eukaryotic large subunit ribosomal RNA", at positions 467 to 1236 of the family's 3401-position model. Lineage: Eukaryota; Fungi; Ascomycota. The record is from RNAcentral.
UCUCCCCCGUGUACUCUUCUAUGGGCAGGCCAGCAUCAGUCCGGGCGGUUGGAGAAAGACCUGUGUCAUGUAGCUGUUUUUCGGGCAGUGUUAUAGGGCAGGUGGAAUGCAACCAGCCUGGACUGAGGUCCGCGCAUCUGCUAGGAUGCUGGCGUAAUGGCUGUAAGCGGCCCGUCUUGAAACACGGACCAAGGAGUCUAACAUCUAUGCGAGUGUUUGGGUGUCAAGCCCGAGCGCGUAAUGAAAGUGAACGGAGGUGGGAACCUUUUAGGUGCACCAUCGACCGAUCCUGAUGUCUUCGGAUGGAUUUGAGUAAGAGCAUAGCUGUUGGGACCCGAAAGAUGGUGAACUAUGCCUGAAUAGGGUGAAGCCAGAGGAAACUCUGGUGGAGGCUCGCAGCGGUUCUGACGUGCAAAUCGAUCGUCAAAUUUGGGCAUAGGGGCGAAAGACUAAUCGAACUAUCUAGUAGCUGGUUCCUGCCGAAGUUUCCCUCAGGAUAGCAGUAACGUUUUCAGUUUUAUGAGGUAAAGCGAAUGAUUAGAGGCCUGGGGGUUGAAACAACCUUCACCUAUUCUCAAACUUUAAAUAUGUAAGAAGUCCUUGUUUCUUAAUUGAACGUGGACAUUUGAAUGUAUCGUUACUAGUGGGCCAUUUUUGGUAAGCAGAACUGGCGAUGCGGGAUGAACCGAACGCGGGGUUAAGGUGCCAGAAUGCACGCUCAUCAGACACCACAAAAGGUGUUGGUUCAUCUAG